GACGAACGCUGGCGGCGUGCUUAACACAUGCAAGUCGAACGGAAAGGCCUCUUUCGGGGGGUACUCGAGUGGCGAACGGGUGAGUAACACGUGAGUAACCUGCCCUUGACUUUGGGAUAACUUCAGGAAACUGGGGCUAAUACCGGAUAGGAGCUCCUGCUGCAUGGUGGGGGUUGGAAAGUUUCGGCGGUUGGGGAUGGACUCGCGGCUUAUCAGCUUGUUGGUGGGGUAGUGGCUUACCAAGGCUUUGACGGGUAGCCGGCCUGAGAGGGUGACCGGCCACAUUGGGACUGAGAUACGGCCCAGACUCCUACGGGAGGCAGCAGUGGGGAAUAAUGCACAAUGGGUGGAAGCCUGAUGCAGCAACGCCGUGUGCGGGAUGACGGCCUUCGGGUUGUAAACCGCUUUCGCUCAUGACGAAGCUUUGUGUGACGGUAGUGGGUAAAGAAGCACCGGCUAACUACGUG
This 467-nucleotide ribosomal RNA is filed under the name uncultured bacterium. Its description in RNAcentral is "partial 16S ribosomal RNA". It matches the Rfam family "Bacterial small subunit ribosomal RNA", at positions 28 to 507 of the family's 1533-position model. The record is from RNAcentral.